This 433-nucleotide ribosomal RNA is filed under the name uncultured bacterium. RNAcentral's name for it is "partial 16S ribosomal RNA". It matches the Rfam family "Bacterial small subunit ribosomal RNA", at positions 29 to 507 of the family's 1533-position model. The record is from RNAcentral.
AACGAACGCUGGCGGCAGGCCUAACACAUGCAAGUCGAGCGAGACCUUCGGGUCUAGCGGCGGACGGGUGAGUAACGCGUGGGAACGUGCCCUUUUCUACGGAAUAGCCUCGGGAAACUGAGCGUAAUACCGUAUACGCCCUUUGGGGGAAAGAUUUAUCGGAGAAGGAUCGGCCCGCGUUGGAUUAGGUAGUUGGUGGGGUAAUGGCCUACCAAGCCUACGAUCCAUAGCUGGUUUGAGAGGAUGAUCAGCCACACUGGGACUGAGACACGGCCCAGACUCCUACGGGAGGCAGCAGUGGGGAAUCUUAGACAAUGGGGGCAACCCUGAUCUAGCCAUGCCGCGUAAGUGAUGAAGGCCUUAGGGUUGUAAAGCUCUUUCAGCUGGGAAGAUAAUGACGGUACCAGCAGAAGAAGCCCCGGCUAACUCCGUG